Molecule: ribosomal RNA, 391 nt
Filed under: uncultured bacterium
Lineage: Bacteria
Description: bacterial SSU rRNA
Rfam family: Bacterial small subunit ribosomal RNA
Source: RNAcentral
AUUGAACGCUGGCGGCAUGCCUUACACAUGCAAGUCGAACGGCAGCACGGGAGCUUGCUCCUGGUGGCGAGUGGCGAACGGGUGAGUAAUGCAUCGGAACGUGCCCUGAAGUGGGGGAUAACGUAGCGAAAGUUACGCUAAUACCGCAUAUUCUGUGAGCAGGAAAGCAGGGGACCGCAAGGCCUUGCGCUCUUUGAGCGGCCGAUGUCAGAUUAGCUAGUUGGUGAGGUAACGGCUUACCAAGGCGACGAUCUGUAGCGGGUCUGAGAGGAUGAUCCGCCACACUGGAACUGAGACACGGUCCAGACUCCUACGGGAGGCAGCAGUGGGGAAUUUUGGACAAUGGGGGGCAACCCUGAUCCAGCCAUGCCGCGUGAGUGAAGAAGGCCUC